Molecule: ribosomal RNA, 291 nt
Filed under: uncultured bacterium
Lineage: Bacteria
Description: partial 16S ribosomal RNA
Rfam family: Bacterial small subunit ribosomal RNA
Source: RNAcentral
CAACGCCGCGUGAGGGAUGAAGGCCUCUGGGCUGUAAACCUCUUUUAUCAAGGAAGAAGAUCUGACGGUACUUGAUGAAUAAGCCACGGCUAAUUCCGUGCCAGCAGCCGCGGUAAUACGGGAGUGGCAAGCGUUAUCCGGAAUUAUUGGGCGUAAAGGCGUCCGCAGGCGGUCUUGAAAGUCUGUUGUUAAAGCGUGGAGCUCAACUCCAUUUCAGCAAUGGAAACUAGAAGACUAGAGUGUGGUAGGGGCAGAGGGAAUUCCCGGUGUAGCGGUGAAAUGCGUAGAUAU